This 482-nucleotide ribosomal RNA is filed under the name uncultured bacterium. Its description in RNAcentral is "bacterial SSU rRNA". It matches the Rfam family "Bacterial small subunit ribosomal RNA", at positions 30 to 506 of the family's 1533-position model. The record is from RNAcentral.
UUGAACGCUGGCGGCAUGCUUUACACAUGCAAGUCGAACGGCAGCACGGGGGCAACCCUGGUGGCGAGUGGCGAACGGGUGAGUAAUAUAUCGGAACAUAUCCGGAAGUGGGGGAUAACGUACCGAAAGGUACGCUAAUACCGCAUAUGCCCUGAGGGGGAAAGGGGGGGAUCGCAAGACCUCUCGCUUUCGGAGUGGCCGAUAUCGGAUUAGCUAGUUGGUGAGGUAAAGGCUCACCAAGGCGACGAUCCGUAGCUGGUCUGAGAGGACGACCAGCCACACUGGAACUGAGACACGGUCCAGACUCCUACGGGAGGCAGCAGUGGGGAAUUUUGGACAAUGGGCGAAAGCCUGAUCCAGCCAUGCCGCGUGAGUGAAGAAGGCCUUCGGGUUGUAAAGCUCUUUCAGCCGGAAAGAAAUUGCUUCUAUUAAUACUAGGAGUAGAUGACGGUACCGGAAGAAGAAGCACCGGCUAACUACGU